This 253-nucleotide ribosomal RNA is filed under the name uncultured bacterium. RNAcentral describes it as "partial 16S ribosomal RNA". It matches the Rfam family "Bacterial small subunit ribosomal RNA", at positions 524 to 776 of the family's 1533-position model. The record is from RNAcentral.
UACGUAGGGGGCAAGCGUUGUCCGGAUUUAUUGGGCGUAAAGAGCUCGUAGGCGGCCGGUUGCGUCUGCUGUGAAAUCCCGGGGCUUAACCCCGGGCGUGCAGUGGAUACGGGCUGGCUGGAGGCAGGCAGGGGAGAAUGGAAUUCCCGGUGUAGCGGUGAAAUGCGCAGAUAUCGGGAGGAACACCGGUGGCGAAGGCGGUUCUCUGGGCCUGUGCUGACGCUGAGGAGCGAAAGCGUGGGGAGCGAACAGG